This 229-nucleotide ribosomal RNA is filed under the name uncultured bacterium. RNAcentral describes it as "partial 16S ribosomal RNA". It matches the Rfam family "Bacterial small subunit ribosomal RNA", at positions 568 to 796 of the family's 1533-position model. The record is from RNAcentral.
CGUGUAGGCGGUCGAGUAAGUCAGAUGUGAAAUCCCUCAGCUCAACUGAGGAACUGCAUUUGAUACUGCUUGACUAGAGUUUGGGAGAGGGGAAUGGAAUUCCCGGUGUAAGGGUGAAAUCUGUAGAUAUCGGGAGGAACACCAGUGGCGAAGGCGAUUCCCUGGACCAAAACUGACGCUGAGGCGCGAAAGCUAGGGGAGCGAACAGGAUUAGAUACCCUGGUAGUCC